RNAcentral lists this long non-coding RNA (2596 nucleotides) under Octopus vulgaris (common octopus). The record is from RNAcentral. Lineage: Eukaryota; Metazoa; Mollusca; Cephalopoda; Octopoda; Octopodidae.
CGAAAUGUCAAAGGUGAGGAUGCUAAUUUGGGGCGUCAUAAGUAAGAGUUAGUAUAUGUUUUGAACUUUGAAAAUAAUAAUAAUAAUAAUAAUAAUAAUAAUAAUAAUAAUAAUAAUAAUAAUAAUAAUAAUAAUAACGAUAAUUUUAUUUCAUUGUAUUGUAUAUGUUACAUACAUUGUAUUUACUACAAAUCUAUAUAUGUGAGAUAGAAUUAAAAAAUUGUUCGUUUACUGAAACGAUCGUAAUAUCAAUUUAAAAUUCGCUUUCUCCAUUGUAUCAAUAAAAGAAAUUAUUAUUAUUAGAGAUGGCAAAAUCGUUACCGUGCCAGACGACAAAAUUUUUAGCAACAUUCAUUCCUAUUAUAGGCCAUUCUAUUAUAGGUCUUGUGCCUAUAAUUGACAGGAUUAUUAUUAUUAUUAUUAUUAUUAUUAUUAUUAUUAUUGAGUGAGAGAGCAGUUCAUGCCAUCAAAGUGACACUGGGGUAAAAUAUACGAAGCCCAAUAUACCCAUCAUGACUACCCGUCUGAUAAAGGUACACCAGGCACAUGCAUCACAACCAUAUGUGCGCGACAUGGUGAUCUCAUAUCAAGAUAAACAGCACAAGAACUUGCAGAUGGGGCCCAGUUAGAAUUUUCUUCAGGUUGAGUAGCCCAUCCCGCUCAAACGGUCCCUGAAUAAGGGUUGUUUAAGGAUGUUGAAAGAACCACCCAUGUUUCCAGAGGUGAACUAUUCAAGCCCCAAAGAAUCCCUCUCAACACAUAUGGCUAUGAUGCUCCCCCACUACUUCUGCUCGUGAUCAGAGAUGCACAUAUCGUCAGCCACUAAGGGACAUGCUCAACUGGUUAAGGUCAAACAACUGACAAGCAAAUCUGUGGUAUUGAGCAGAAUAUUUGUUGUAGCCCAUCUUUUAUACCAAGACAAAACAAUGUACAUGAUAACACUUCCAAUCAGUUAAGAUCAGAAGCCAUGAGAGCCACUGCCUGGUACUGCAUCAGGGCAUUUAUUAUUAUUAUUAUUAUUAUUAUUAUUAUUAUGAAGAAGCGGCGAGCUGGUAGAAUCGUCAGCACGCCGCGAAAAACGCUUAGCGAUAUUUCGUCUCUCUCUACGUUCUGUGUUAAAAUUCUGCCGGGAUACUGGGAUUGAUGUAAUCGACUAACCCCAAAGCCCCUAAAAAAAUCGUGACUCUGUGCCAAAAUUUGAGCCUAUUAUCAUUGUUGUUAUUCUUACUUAUUUAUCCGAGGUUGACUUCGACUUACAUCUUUUCGAGGUCGAUUAAAUACAGUAUGAGAAAUAGAGUCGAGGGUAUCAAUUAGCACCUCCUCUCAAAAUUGCUAGCGCUGUAAUUAAUCAGAACCAUUAUUAAAGGCUGUUAGCUGAUAUAAUCGUUAGAACAUCGGACAAGUUGACUAGUGACAUUUCUUCCGGUUCUUUAUAUUCUAAGUUCAAAUGCUAUCGGGGUCGACUUAGCCUUUUAUUAUUCCUGACUCGAUAAAAUAAGUACAACUUGAGUACUGGGGUCGAUAUAAGCGAUUAACCCCUCUCCACAAAAAUAUCAGGCCUUGCGCAUAUUGGUAUGAAGUUGCUAAUUGUUCUUAUAAUAAUUAUGUCAAAUGUUAUAAAUAGUUUAGAUUGUCUUGAUUGAAUCAUCUCCUUUAAGUUAUGUAUAUAAACGUUAAACAUAUAUAUAAGUAUGUAUGUAUGUAUGUAUGUAUGUAUGUAUGUAUGUAUGUAUGUAUGUAUGUAUGUAUGUAUGUAUGUAUGUAGGUAUUCAUGUAUGUAUGUAUGAAUGAAUGUCUCUAUAUUUGUUCAUAUAUGUGUAUAUAUAUAUCUGUAUGUAUGUAUGUGUGCAUAUAUAUAUAUAAUGUAUAUGUAUAUAUAUAUAUAUCUGUACGUAUAUAUAUAAUGUACAUGUAUAUAUGUAUGAACGUGUAUAUAUGUAGUGCACAAACAUACUUAUGUGCAUUAUGUAUAUAUACGCGCGGGCACACACAUAUACGUAUAUUAUACAUAUAUAUAUUUAUGUAAACACACACACACACACACACACACACUAUAUAUAAGUGUGCGAUUGGUAAAUUGUUGACAUUUUAUUUUUUAACUUUGCGCUUGUGCAUUGUUUCUUUUUGAUUUUGUCGAUUACACAGUAUUGUAGAGUCAGUUGGGCACCGUUUGUGAGAAAAACAACACCAUGACGCAAUUCACUCUGUCAGAAAUUUGGAAACCACAUGCUGUUCUGCUUGGCAUUCAUGCCGGAAGCUCCAAUAUGAACAUUUCUGAAUGUUUGGGUGUCAAUCUGAGGACAUGUGCUAAGAGUGAUAAAAAUCAAAUAUCCAGUCAACAUCAUGAUAUAUGAAGUGAUCACUACUGAUAGCGACGUUAUGCUUACAUUCAUCUUCCCACACAUCCUUACACUCAGCAUGGAGGCCUACAACAAGUGCCUGGAGGACAUAAUGCUGCUUGGUCAAGAGGGUGGCUGCUGGAAGACCCUAUGUCUGUCAACAGGACUCUGCACCAUGCCACACAAACAGGAGAAUCCAGUCAUGGCUGUCAGACAAUUUCUGCAACUACAUCACCCCUAACAUCUGGCCGCCUACC